AAUAAGUGCAGUUUUGCACUAUUCAUGUUCAACGUUUGACCGUCCGUCUUAUUUGAAAUUUUUUUAUGAUUAGUAUUUUUAUUGCUAUUAGAUAAUAAAACAUGAAUAGUAUUUUAUGUGUGACUAAAUGUUUUUAAUUUUUUCAAAAAUUUUUUAAAUAAGACGGACGAUCAAACGUUAAACAUAAAUAGUGUAAAACUACACUUAUU
This is a non-coding RNA of Oryza nivara, 209 nucleotides long. Lineage: Eukaryota; Viridiplantae; Streptophyta; Magnoliopsida; Poales; Poaceae. The record is from Rfam.